This 562-nucleotide ribosomal RNA is filed under the name uncultured Bifidobacterium sp. RNAcentral describes it as "bacterial SSU rRNA". It matches the Rfam family "Bacterial small subunit ribosomal RNA", at positions 147 to 710 of the family's 1533-position model. The record is from RNAcentral. Lineage: Bacteria; Bacillati; Actinomycetota; Actinomycetes; Bifidobacteriales; Bifidobacteriaceae.
CUCCUGGAAACGGGUGGUAAUGCCGGAUGUUCCACAUGAGCGCAUGCGAGUGUGGGAAAGGCUUUUUGCGGCAUGGGAUGGGGUCGCGUCCUAUCAGCUUGUUGGUGGGGUAACGGCCUACCAAGGCGUUGACGGGUAGCCGGCCUGAGAGGGCGACCGGCCACAUUGGGACUGAGAUACGGCCCAGACUCCUACGGGAGGCAGCAGUGGGGAAUAUUGCACAAUGGGCGCAAGCCUGAUGCAGCGACGCCGCGUGCGGGAUGGAGGCCUUCGGGUUGUAAACCGCUUUUGUUCAAGGGCAAGGCACGGUUUCGGCCGUGUUGAGUGGAUUGUUCGAAUAAGCACCGGCUAACUACGUGCCAGCAGCCGCGGUAAUACGUAGGGUGCAAGCGUUAUCCGGAUUUAUUGGGCGUAAAGGGCUCGUAGGCGGUUCGUCGCGUCCGGUGUGAAAGCCCAUCGCUUAACGGUGGAUCCGCGCCGGGUACGGGCGGGCUUGAGUGCGGUAGGGGAGACUGGAAUUCCCGGUGUAACGGUGGAAUGUGUAGAUAUCGGGAAGAACACC